Molecule: ribosomal RNA, 467 nt
Filed under: uncultured bacterium
Lineage: Bacteria
Description: partial 16S ribosomal RNA
Rfam family: Bacterial small subunit ribosomal RNA
Source: RNAcentral
GAUGAACGCUGGCGGCGCGCCUAACACAUGCAAGUCGAACGAUUAAAGCACCUUCGGGUGUGUAUAAAGUGGCGAACGGCUGAGUAACACGUGGGCAACCUGCCCCUUUCAUUGGGAUAGCCACGGGAAACCGUGGAUAAUACCGAAUACUUCGAGACUUCCGCAUGGAAGACUCGAGAAAGCUCCGGCGGAGAGGGAUGGGCCCGCGGCCUGUUAGCUUGUUGGUGUGGUAACGGCCUACCAAGGCAAUGAAGGGUAGCUGGGUUGAGAGACCGACCAGCCAGAUUGGGACUGGGACACGGCCCAGACGCCUACGGGAGGCAGCAGUGGGGAAUCUUGCACAAUGGGCGAAAGCCUGAUGCAGCGACGCCGCGUGCGGGAUGAAGGCCUUCGGGUUGUAAACCGCUUUCAGCAGGGACGAGGCGAAAGUGACGGUACCUGCAGAAGAAGCCCCGGCUAACUACGUG